UGGUUUAAUUCGAUGCAACGCGAAGAACCUUACCAGGGUUUGACAUCCUGCGAACCCCUGAGAAAUCGGGGGGUGCCUUCGGGAACGCAGUGACAGGUGGUGCAUGGCUGUCGUCAGCUCGUGUCGUGAGAUGUUGGGUUAAGUCCCGCAACGAGCGCAACCCACGUCUUUAGUUGCCAGCAUUCAGUUGGGCACUCUAGAGAGACCGCCGGUGAUAAACCGGAGGAAGGUGUGGAUGACGUCAAGUCAUCAUGCCCCUUACAUCCUGGGCUACACACGUACUACAAUGCUACGGACAAAGGGCAGCGAACUCGCGAGGGCAAGCAAAUCCCAUAAACCGUAGCUCAGUUCAGAUCGUAGGCUGCAACUCGCCUACGUGAAGGAGGAAUCGCUAGUAAUCGCAGGUCAGCAUACUGCGGUGAAUACGUUCCCGGGCCUUGUACACACCGCCCGUAAGGG
RNAcentral lists this ribosomal RNA (459 nucleotides) under uncultured cyanobacterium. RNAcentral describes it as "bacterial SSU rRNA". It matches the Rfam family "Bacterial small subunit ribosomal RNA", at positions 942 to 1402 of the family's 1533-position model. The record is from RNAcentral. Lineage: Bacteria; Bacillati; Cyanobacteriota.